This 430-nucleotide ribosomal RNA is filed under the name Bacillota bacterium. RNAcentral describes it as "Firmicutes bacterium partial 16S ribosomal RNA". It matches the Rfam family "Bacterial small subunit ribosomal RNA", at positions 355 to 776 of the family's 1533-position model. Lineage: Bacteria; Bacillati; Bacillota. The record is from RNAcentral.
UGGGGAAUAUUGGACAAUGGGCGCAAGCCUGAUCCAGCCAUGCCGCGUGUGUGAAGAAGGCCUUUUGGUUGUAAAGCACUUUAAGCGAGGAGGAGGCUACUUGGAUUAAUACUCUAGGAUAGUGGACGUUACUCGCAGAAUAAGCACCGGCUAACUCUGUGCCAGCAGCCGCGGUAAUACAGAGGGUGCGAGCGUUAAUCGGAUUUACUGGGCGUAAAGCGUGCGUAGGCGGCUUCUUAAGUCGGAUGUGAAAUCCCUGAGCUUAACUUAGGAAUUGCAUUCGAUACUGGGAAGCUAGAGUAUGGGAGAGGAUGGUAGAAUUCCAGGUGUAGCGGUGAAAUGCGUAUAGAUCUGGAGGAAUACCGAUGGCGAAGGCAGCCAUCUGGCCUAAUACUGACGCUGAGGUACGAAAGCAUGGGGAGCAAACAGG